GUCUACGGCCAUGCCACCCUGAACGUCUGAUCUUUGAAGCUAAGCAGGGUUGGGCCUGGUUAGUACUUGGGUAGGAGACCACAUAGGAAGACCAGGUGCUGUAGGCA
This 107-nucleotide ribosomal RNA is filed under the name Pteropus alecto (black flying fox). The record is from RNAcentral. Lineage: Eukaryota; Metazoa; Chordata; Mammalia; Chiroptera; Pteropodidae.